CGGGGUGCAGCAGGCGCGAAAACUUUACAAUGCUGGAAACAGCGAUAAGGGGACCUCGAGUGCCAGGUUACAAAUCUGGCUGUCGUGAUGCCUAAAAAGCAUUGCAUAGCAAGGGCCGGGCAAGACCGGUGCCAGCCGCCGCGGUAACACCGGCGGCUCGAGUGGUAACCGUUAUUAUUGGGUCUAAAGGGUCUGUAGCCGGCCGGAUAAGUCUCUUGGGAAAUCCAGCAGCUCAACUGUUGGGCUUUCAGGAGAUACUGUCUGGCUCGAGGCCGGGAGAGGUGAGAGGUACUUCAGGGGUAGGGGUGAAAUCUUGUAAUCCUUGAAGGACCACCAGUGGCGAAGGCGUCUCACCAGAACGGACCUGACGGCAAGGGACGAAAGCUAGGGGCACGAACCGGAUUAGAUACCCGGGUAGUCCUAGCCGUAAACGAUACUCGCUAGGUGUCGGCCACGGUGCGACCGUUGUCGGUGCCGUAGGGAAGCCGUGAAGCGAGCCACCUGGGAAGUACGGCCGCAAGGCUGAAACUUAAAGGAAUUGGCGGGGGAGCA
This 552-nucleotide ribosomal RNA is filed under the name uncultured archaeon. RNAcentral's name for it is "bacterial SSU rRNA". It matches the Rfam family "Archaeal small subunit ribosomal RNA", at positions 326 to 878 of the family's 1478-position model. The record is from RNAcentral.